Molecule: non-coding RNA, 70 nt
Filed under: unclassified sequences
Source: RNAcentral
CGCCAUUGGUUGUGAGUAUCCGCAAGGACUCAGGGGCUUGUUAUAGGGCCCUAAGACAGCCAAUGGCGUU